CCCGGUAAACGGCGGCCGUAACUAUAACGGUCCUAAGGUAGCGAAAUUCCUUGUCGGGUAAGUUCCGACCUGCACGAAUGGCGUAAUGAUGGCCAGGCUGUCUCCACCCGAGACUCAGUGAAAUUGAACUCGCUGUGAAGAUGCAGUGUACCCGCGGCAAGACGGAAAGACCCCGUGAACCUUUACUAUAGCUUGACACUGAACAUUGAGCCUUGAUGUGUAGGAUAGGUGGGAGGCUUUGAAGUGUGGACGCCAGUCUGCAUGGAGCCGACCUUGAAAUACCACCCUUUAAUGUUUGAUGUUCUAACGUGGACCCGUAAUCCGGGUUGCGGACAGUGUCUGGUGGGUAGUUUGACUGGGGCGGUCUCCUCCUAAAGAGUAACGGAGGAGCACGAAGGUUGGCUAAUCCUGGUCGGACAUCAGGAGGUUAGUGCAAUGGCAUAAGCCAGCUUGACUGCGAGCGUGACGGCGCGAGCAGGUGCGAAAGCAGGUCAUAGUGAUCCGGUGGUUCUGAAUGGAAGGGCCAUCGCUCAACGGAUAAAAGGUACUCCGGGGAUAACAGGCUGAUACCGCCCAAGAGUUCAUAUCGACGGCGGUGUUUGGCACCUCGAUGUCGGCUCAUCACAUCCUGGGGCUGAAGUAGGUCCCAAGGGUAUGGCUGUUCGCCAUUUAAAGUGGUACGCGAGCUGGGUUUAGAACGUCGUGAGACAGUUCGGUCCCUAUCUGCCGUGGGCGCUGGAGAACUGAGGGGGGCUGCUCCUAGUACGAGAGGACCGGAGUGGACGCAUCACUGGUGUUCGGGUUGUCAUGCCAAUGGCACUGCCCGGUAGCUAAAUGCGGAAGAGAUAAGUGCUGAAAGCAUCUAAGCACGAAACUUGCCCCGAGAUGAGUUCUCCCUGAGACUUAGAGUCUCCUGAAGGAACGUUGAAGACGACGACGUUGAUAGGCCGGGUGUGUAAGCGCAGCGAUGCGUUGAGCUAACCGGUACUAAUGAACCGUGAGGCUUAACCUUAC
RNAcentral lists this ribosomal RNA (1014 nucleotides) under Salmonella enterica subsp. enterica serovar Thompson. RNAcentral describes it as "partial 23S ribosomal RNA". It matches the Rfam family "Bacterial large subunit ribosomal RNA", at positions 1919 to 2925 of the family's 2925-position model. The record is from RNAcentral. Lineage: Bacteria; Pseudomonadati; Pseudomonadota; Gammaproteobacteria; Enterobacterales; Enterobacteriaceae.